ACAACUUUAAAGUCCCCAAUUCCCAUUUUCUCUGGUUUCUCGCCCCCAUAAUUGUCGAGUUCUAGCUGAAACAAGCCGUCCAUCCUAUACAAACCCUUUACAGAUCCAGUGUCUCUCCUACAUUCCACUGCACCAAAUCUUCAGGUAGUACUUCAUUCUCACCCACCAAUUUCAAGCCAAUCAAAUCAUUAUUCUACAUUCCUAAGUGCCAAACAUCAAAUUUAUACCCAGUUUUCGCGUAAGCUAUUCUCACAUGUUAUCAAAGCCAGAACCAGGACUUUGCAUAUUAAAGCAAUUUUGACACCGAUGAUGGUGGUGAUUACGAGGAUGAGGAUGAGGAUGAAAGUGGGUUUUUGAGAGGUGAAGGGUUUAUAGGGAGAGAAGAGAAUAAGAAGGAUUAUGAUAGAGACCAUAAAUUUGCUGAGAUUCUUGGGAGUUUUCUUGAUGACCCUGACAAAGCUAAGUCCAAAGUGAAACUCUACGAAUAAAAAGGAAUGGAAGGAAAGAAGCAAAAAGGGCGGAAAUAGCAAAAUCCAAAGUAUGUGGAUUAAAUUGGCCAUUUGAUGCAAUUUUUGGGAAUCAAAGUAACUAUAAAAAUGGAAGGACUGAUUUGCUUCGCUUUGAAGAUUGAGUACUUGGAGAGAAAUAAUUGAUUAAUGGGCCUCAAUUGGAUAUGCCUUGGAAUUCAACUUGAAUACUUAAUUGGACUUCCAAUAGGGUUACAACUAAAGGGGCUGCAUGGGCCGAAUUUGGGUUUCUUUUUGGUCAAAUUGGUUGGCUAAUUUCAAGUAUAUUAUACAUGCACUUAUCGAAAGAAAAAGGAGGAAGAGAAGAGAAAACCUAGAAAAAAAUAAGGGCUGAAUUCAUAGAUCUUCUUGGAGAGAAACGGCAGCUGGAGGAAAUCAAGGGGCUGCCUAAGCUGAUUUUCAGAAAUAUAUCCCACGCACAAUUGGGCAGCAAAUUGGGGGUCAACAUCUACACAUACGAGCUGCUGAAUUUGGAAAAAAAAUAAUCUUCUUGGUGAAAUUAAAAAGGAGCAGCUAGGAGAUUCUUGGGAAUUAUUUUGGUGAGAUAAAUUAACCGGCUGCUUACUUAGAGAUUAUAUACAAACAUAGGCAGAUUUUUGGGGAAGAGACUGCACGCCAACUUGGAGGGAAGAGAUACAGGAGCACACCAAAAUUGGGGGAGAGUAAAAAGGAAUCUUGGGAGUCAAACAAUGGGCUGCGUGUUCUAUACAAAUAUUUACACAAACAUUGGCAAAACAUUGGAGGAAAGAAAUUGAGUGCCAACUGGGAAUUACAAACACGUUGCCGGCGGUAAUUGGAGAUACAUAUAACUUAUGGCAGCAAAGUGAUAUAUACACUCAUAUAGGAGCCGAAAAAAGGGAAAAUUCACGUAAACACGCAGAAGCCGAAAGGGAUUAAUCGCAUUCCUUUAAUUUUUGGUGAUUUCCUUCCUCUUUUAUAUGUUUAAUUCCAACAUUAUGCUAGGCUAAGGUUUUUCAUGUAUUGGAUGGAUGACAAAAUUGUUUAAUUUUUUAGUUUUAAUUCGAGACCUAUGUUUUUAUGUUAAUUAUUGCGUUGUGAUUCCAUUAAUAUGUAUAAUUAGAUUGUUUUAAUGUGUGCGCACCAUUAGAAUAAUAUGUUGCUUUUUCGUAGUGAUGGAAAAUUCACGAUAGGUAGAACACUAUUAUUGGGACAUACGGGUAAUAAAUAUUGGGAAUAAUAUUUGUGGCAUGUGCGAUCUUAUGUGAUAAUCCUAAAUGUCAAUGCAUGGUUGUCAUAUGAAGUCGGACUAGGAAGAGGAUCGUCUCGUGGUAAUAAUAGGUUUAUUAUAUCUUGGAAAAGAAUAAUAAAUACUAGUGGAAUUAUCGAUCGUCGCAAUCGCAUUAAUUGAAAUAAUUAUUACUGGUUGAGAAUUAGAACUAAGAAUUGAUCAGUGGCGUCGGAAAUCCAAUACGUUCGCACAUUUGAUUUUUAAACCAAUUUUCAUUGAUUUAACAAGUUUUAGUUAUAAAAAUUAGUUAACUAUUCAUUCGAUCAUCUUUUGAUUACAAACUCGAAUUUAAAUAUAUCCAAUAUACUGAAAUUGAUUCUUAUUCCCUGUGAGACGAUAACUUUCUCAUCACGAUUAUUACUUGUACAACGAACCCGUACGCUUGCAGGAUUUUCACAAACACUUUUCAUUUUAUAAUCCUACAGGAGCUCUUUCUCCGUUGACCUUGGUAAGUAAAAAACAUAGAAGGGGGAAUUUCUGAAAUAGAUUACAAAUCUUUAUUCCUAGCAUCUCUUCUGCACGUCCAUGGAGUUUUGAAGAAUCCAACAUUAAGCAGUAAAAGCUAACCGCAUUUCAGAUUGAUGUGCUUUCUUAUUUAAAAUAAAAUAAAAUUAUGCAGCACUUAUGUGACUCUUGACACUUGUUCUUUUCAUAAUUCGAUGAUGGCAUUUGUUUGCUAUUGAUGCGACAGAUGGAAGAGAGAUUGAGAAGGAAAAGGAGCUAGAUACUGCAUACUAAAGCUGGUUCAGCGACACCCAAGAAAGUGAUGUUCAAUAACCAAUUUGAUCGUGGCACAUUGUUGGAAGUCUCGGUGGAUGCAAUUCUAUGAAUAUGCAAUUGUCACAAUGUCCGUUGGACCAAAGAUCGAGUUAUGAUGCUAUUCAGGUAGCAAAUGUUAACCUGACAACAUUUUAUGACAUUGGGGACCUCCAGAUUCAAGAUAACAACUUAGCCAGAAUAUGGCAAGUGGUUCAAAAUGUUUCCGAGUUUUUUCUACUAGAUAUGUGAAUCAAUGCGAUUGGGACUCAUAUUGAUAGGGUGGAUAUCGGCACUAGUGAACCAUUGCUCUUGGAUAUUUUAAUCAAUGCAUUGACACAAAUAAGCUCCAAGUAAGAUUUUGAGUGUGUUUGGCAAAAAAAAAGUAGCUUUCUUAUAAGCUGGGGGACCCAAAGUUUUGUGUCCACGCAAUUUGUGGGUCCUUGAACUUAUAAGAUAUCUACUUUUUAUCACUUUUUUUUCAAUGUUAUCUUCUAUAAUCCUUUCGACUUGUAAUGAACGGCUAUUCUGGAAUCAAACAAGUGGUGUUUGGUAGAUCUGAAUUCAAGAACUGGAGGAGAGCUUAAAAUGCUGCUUACAACAUUCACAAGAUUUAGGAUCUUAUUGGUUUUUUUUUGCUUCAAUGUAAUAGUAAAUGGGUUAUUCCCCUUUACUCCCAGCAUUUCCCAGGCCUAUGUGGCUCUGGUAAUGUAGCACGGUUCAUAGUAAAUAUCGUAUCUUAAUUGAAGUAAUGCGGUGGUAUUCAUAGUUGAAAAUAUCAUUGAGCUAGUUAUAGAAAAGUGAUUGCC
This is a long non-coding RNA of Olea europaea var. sylvestris, 3341 nucleotides long. RefSeq lists it as uncharacterized. The record is from RefSeq and is a predicted model, not a curated record. The transcript has 4 exons. NCBI's taxonomy places the organism in Eukaryota, Viridiplantae, Streptophyta, Magnoliopsida, Lamiales, Oleaceae.